AGACUGCUGGAGCUUGUGCCAUCUAUUGAAAGAAGGAAUUUACAUGGGUUCUGCAAACUCUGUCCCUUUAAAGGGAGCAAGAGCAAAGCAAGUACGGUAUUGAAAGAGACUCUUCACUGAAGAACGGCACUUUUCAGCAGAUCCCAUGUACAGUAAAUGUCUGUGUACAG
Molecule: long non-coding RNA, 170 nt
Organism: Gavialis gangeticus (Gharial)
Lineage: Eukaryota; Metazoa; Chordata; Crocodylia; Gavialidae
Exons: 2
Source: RefSeq, a predicted model, not a curated record